GACGAACGCUGGCGGCGUGCUUAACACAUGCAAGUCGAGCGGACAGGCCAUGAUUUUGUUGGGUGCUCGAGUGGCGAACAGGUGAGUAACACGUGAGUAACCUGCCCUUGACUUUGGGAUAACUUCAGGAAACUGGGGCUCAUACCGGGUAGGAUAUCCUGCUGCAUGGUGGGGAUUGGAAAGUUUCGGCGGUUGUGGAUGGUAUGGCGGGUUAUGCGCUUGAUGGUCGGGUAGGGGCGUACGAAGGGUUUGACGGGUAGCCGGCCUGGGAGGGUGACCGGCGACAUUGGUACUGAGAGACGGACCAGACUCCUACGGGAGGCAGUAGUGGGGAAUAUGGCACAAUGGGCGGAAGCCUGAUGCAGCAACGCCGCGUGCGGGAUGACGGCUUUCUGGUUGUAAACCGCUUUCGCCGGUGACGAAGCGUGAGUGACGGUAAUGGGUAAAGAAGCACCGGCUAACUACGUG
Molecule: ribosomal RNA, 468 nt
Filed under: uncultured bacterium
Lineage: Bacteria
Description: partial 16S ribosomal RNA
Rfam family: Bacterial small subunit ribosomal RNA
Source: RNAcentral